RNAcentral lists this ribosomal RNA (151 nucleotides) under Matsushimamyces bohaniensis. RNAcentral describes it as "5.8S ribosomal RNA". It matches the Rfam family "5.8S ribosomal RNA". Rfam says of the family: 5.8S ribosomal RNA (5.8S rRNA) is a component of the large subunit of the eukaryotic ribosome. It is transcribed by RNA polymerase I as part of the 45S precursor that also contains 18S and 28S rRNA. Functionally, it is thought that 5.8S rRNA may be involved in ribosome translocation. The record is from RNAcentral. Lineage: Eukaryota; Fungi; Ascomycota; Dothideomycetes; Pleosporales; Latoruaceae.
AACUUUCAACAAUGGAUCUCUUGGUUCUGGCAUCGAUGAAGAACGCAGCGAAAUGCGAUAAGUAGUGUGAAUUGCAGAAUUCAGUGAAUCAUCGAAUCUUUGAACGCACAUUGCGCCCCAUGGUAUUCCGUGGGGCAUGCCUGUUCGAGCG